This is a long non-coding RNA of Cryptomeria japonica (Japanese cedar), 1682 nucleotides long. RefSeq lists it as uncharacterized. The record is from RefSeq and is a predicted model, not a curated record. The transcript has 2 exons. NCBI's taxonomy places the organism in Eukaryota, Viridiplantae, Streptophyta, Pinopsida, Cupressales, Cupressaceae.
CCUUGGAGCGGAGAGCAUAAGCUUGGUGCUAUAAAUGCAAGAAAAAUAUUUCAAACUUUCGAAACAUUAAUUUUGACAUUUCAAUCACCCGCGGAUGCAAUGAUUUUUUUGAAAAACACGUUGUCCCUAUCGAACCGAACGGCUAUCUUGCACGUGCGAGGAUGUCUUUCAUUGUACCAUUGGCUAUGAAUAGCAGAGGAAUGGGACAGGAAAAGCAUAAGAGGUAAUAGCAGAGGAAUGGGAGACGCAGAGGCGGUGAUGGCAAAGCAAUGGGAGAGGACGGGUUUUUCUUUUGUCAGGCAAUCUGAAGACUAUUCUUUGAAUUGUUGCCUAACAUUCAAGGAUUGGACUUGCCACACACAGGGCAUCUAUCUCAUGGAUUCAUGAUUGCACAGAGAUGAGUAUCUGCAAUAUCUAUUUAUUUUAAAUCCAUGCCAUACUGCGUGGAUGAAUCUAAAGUUGCAUUCUUUUCAUUUCUAUUAGUAAUAAAUUGAAUAAAGUACAAAAUUUAGGAAUAUUCGUUGUGAUUUAUGUAAUAUUGGUUCGUUAUUGUAUUUGUUUUCUUUUGGGAUAGAUGACUCAUUGAUUAGGAAUGCUUGAGACGACUGGUAUUCCUUUUAGGAAUGCUUUAGAGGACUGGUAUUCCUUUUAGUAAUGCUCAUGAUUACUGGUGCAAGUGCAUAUCUUCAAGACAUUGACCAGUCUCAAAAUCACCAUGUAUAAGAAUUGUGUAUUUUCAUAUAAUUUUUUGAGGAAUUGAGUCAUUCCAAAAUAAUUUUCUUCUCCAGAGAUUUGGUAUUUUCAGUAUGGGGAUGUCUUUUGUAAGUUCACGUUGGAUUUAGCAUUUAACCAUGUACAAUUUGGUGGAGUUUCACGGCAACCAGGUAAAUUAGUCAGAUUUGUUUUUUUUCUUCUUGAUUAUUCAUUAGUGUUGAUGUCAUUUGGACUGGGUAUUGGUAAGAUUUGAGUUAGAUUGUAAAUGCAGGCCUUUAGGCUUUCUACUGGGACUUGCCUUAGCUCUCUUGGCCUUCCCUGUAGGUGUUGUAACUUGUAAGUGUUCUUGUUUGGAUAGUGGAGCAAUACUUUUUUUUCUUUAUGGGUUUUAAUGUUUUUACUUCUGAUACAUAACAUUGUAAAUGCAGCAUCAUACAUUAUUAUUUUAAGAUUUUUUAUAUGAACAUAGUCUUCUUAAUUACUGUUGCAAAUGACGAUUAGAUAAGAGCCUUUGCCUGAUAUGAAGCAUAUUUAGCCUGUCAAAUGGAAUUCUUUAUGUUGUUAACCUUUUUGACUUUUUCGAUUUCUAUUGUAAAGGAGUUGUUAUGCCCCGUGAUGAGUUUCAUGUGCUGGAAAAACAGUAGGGCGUGGAUUUGAUUCAACUGACAAGCUCAAUGUUAUCACUGAAAAUCAUGAAAGUACAGUCCUGGCAGUGAAUUGCUUGGUUCUUUCAGAGAAUCGAUGGCAUUGAAUUGUUGAAAUUAUUCAGGUGACAAAAGACAAUCAACCUCUGACAAGUGCACUCCACGAAUGAGGAAAGUCACCCUCACCUUCCAUAUGGCUUGAUAUUCAUGGUUUCCUGUCCCUUCAAACAUGUAUUUAAAUUUAUGACAAUGAUUAUACUAACCGUCUUGGCUGAUUGUUAUCUCAAUUUAUAUCUUUUUAUGUAAUCUUCACCUGUUUAUCUG